GCCGGGAUGGCGGAAUGGUAGACGCAGUGGACUCAAAAUCCACCGAGGGCAACCUCAUGGGAGUUCAAGUCUCCCUCCCGGCACCA
This 86-nucleotide transfer RNA is filed under the name Synergistaceae bacterium. RNAcentral describes it as "tRNA-Leu". It matches the Rfam family "tRNA". Rfam says of the family: Transfer RNA (tRNA) molecules are approximately 80 nucleotides in length. Their secondary structure includes four short double-helical elements and three loops (D, anti-codon, and T loops). Lineage: Bacteria; Thermotogati; Synergistota; Synergistia; Synergistales; Synergistaceae. The record is from RNAcentral.